Molecule: long non-coding RNA, 521 nt
Filed under: Homo sapiens (human)
Lineage: Eukaryota; Metazoa; Chordata; Mammalia; Primates; Hominidae
Description: non-protein coding lnc-RBBP7-3:1
Source: RNAcentral
GAGGCCAUUGCAUGUGAUUGGACUGACCUCUUCCUGUGGUGACUAGAAAGUGCUAAAAGAAUAUUCUUUAGUAUUUUCUCUCAUACUAAGGGGUUAAUAUGGAAUGUGUUUGAAAUUGCAAAUUGAAUAAUUGUCCAGGUUUUUUUUUUAUACCUUGCUAAAUUAGUUCCUCUUUUAAUCUAGUGAUAGAUACAGUGAUGCCAGUGAUGACAGCUUUUCAGAGCCAAGGAUAGCUGAGUUGGAAAUAAGCUGAAAUGAAUACAUGACUGGGAAUAAUGGGGACUGCCUGUGAGGCCUCUGAAAUAAUUGAAGGCAAGAUGAAGGAACUAUCUGAAGAAAUCACUACACUCUUAGAGAAUCCCUCUGUUCUCCAGCAAACAUGGGAUGUAAAGCCUCACAGGGAAUCUGAUAAUACAUACUUCUGUCAACCAGAACCAGAGGGGUAGUUUUCUUUUCCCUCCAGAGGCAGCCUUUGGUACUUAAAAUAUCUGUAGCUGAUUAAAUUUUUCCCAACAACCUCA